RNAcentral lists this transfer-messenger RNA (347 nucleotides) under Aurantiacibacter arachoides. RNAcentral describes it as "Erythrobacter arachoides transfer-messenger RNA". It matches the Rfam family "Alphaproteobacteria transfer-messenger RNA". From Rfam's summary of the family: Bacterial tmRNA, also known as 10Sa RNA or SsrA, is named for its dual tRNA and mRNA-like properties. Its role is to liberate the mRNA from a stalled ribosome. The record is from RNAcentral. Lineage: Bacteria; Pseudomonadati; Pseudomonadota; Alphaproteobacteria; Sphingomonadales; Erythrobacteraceae.
CCACUUCACAUUCAUCCACGACGCGCUAUAUGGGGGGUGCCGGUUUCGACCGGAUAUGGCGAUAAACGGCGCCGUGACAUAGGUACAACGGACCCGGGGGCAGUACCCGGCGGCUCCACCACAACCCGCCGCGAAAGUGGCGGUUUAUGACGGGGCCGAACUAGGAUCGACGUGUGCUGAAAGACGGCGUUUUUGCUCGGGCUGAGUAUCCCGCAAAACUGUUCAAAACACACAAGUGCCAACGAUAACGAAGCACUCGCUCUCGCUGCGUAACUCCACGUCCUAACGGACCAAGGUUACAAGGCUUAAGCGCGGUUGGACCGACCGGGCAACAGAACGGAUUCCGG